Molecule: transfer RNA, 76 nt
Filed under: Solimonas sp. K1W22B-7
Lineage: Bacteria; Pseudomonadati; Pseudomonadota; Gammaproteobacteria; Nevskiales; Nevskiaceae
Description: tRNA-Glu
Rfam family: tRNA
About the family: Transfer RNA (tRNA) molecules are approximately 80 nucleotides in length.
Source: RNAcentral
GGAAGCUAGCUCAUUGGAUAGAGCAGGUGGUUUUCAACCAUCCGGUAACGGGUUCGACUCCCGUGCUUUCGCACCA